CCUCCCGUUCUUGGUGGGCAUGGGACAUGUGGUCUCACUGCGUGUUCUGUACGGAGGAGAGGGAAAGGGCUCCAGCCCACUCAGCAUCACACUUCUGGGUGCCUCCGGCUUCUGCCCAAGAGUUCUAUACUCAAGCUCUGGGACACAG
Molecule: small nucleolar RNA, 148 nt
Organism: Otolemur garnettii (small-eared galago)
Lineage: Eukaryota; Metazoa; Chordata; Mammalia; Primates; Galagidae
Source: Ensembl